UCGGUUCUUUUUUUAGUUCCUUGCUUCCUCUGGUUAACCGAGCCAAAUCUGGAAGCUGAUUAAUCCGUAAGGAGCAACCAAUG
Photobacterium profundum SS9 is the source of this 83-nucleotide regulatory RNA element. It matches the Rfam family "RpsF leader". From Rfam's summary of the family: Conserved and widely distributed to many bacterial species RNA structure. Lineage: Bacteria; Pseudomonadati; Pseudomonadota; Gammaproteobacteria; Vibrionales; Vibrionaceae. The record is from Rfam.